Molecule: ribosomal RNA, 495 nt
Filed under: uncultured bacterium
Lineage: Bacteria
Description: partial 16S ribosomal RNA
Rfam family: Bacterial small subunit ribosomal RNA
Source: RNAcentral
GACGAACGCUGGCGGCGUGCCUAAUACAUGCAAGUAGAACGCUGAAGGAGGAGCUUGCUCUUCUGGAUGAGUUGCGAACGGGUGAGUAACGCGUAGGUAACCUGCCUGGUAGCGGGGGAUAACUAUUGGAAACGAUAGCUAAUACCGCAUAACAGUAGAUGUUGCAUGACAUUUACUUAAAAGGUGCAAUUGCAUCACUACCAGAUGGACCUGCGUUGUAUUAGCUAGUUGGUGGGGUAACGGCUCACCAAGGCGACGAUACAUAGCCUACCUGAGAGGGUGAUCGGCCAAAAUGGGACUGAGACACGGCCCAGACUUCUACGGGAGGCAGCAGUAGGGAAUCUUCGGCAAUGGACGGAAGUCUGACCGAACAACGCCGCGUGAGGGAAGAAGGUUUUCGGAUCGUAAAGCUCUGUUGUAAGAGAAGAACGAGUGUGAGGGUGGAAAGUUCACACUGUGACGGUAUCUUACCAGAAAGGGACGGCUAACUACGUG